GAUGAACGCUGGCGGCGUGCCUAAUACAUGCAAGUCGAGCGAACAGACGAGGAGCUUGCUCCUCUGACGUUAGCGGCGGACGGGUGAGUAACACGUGGAUAACCUACCUAUAAGACUGGGAUAACUUCGGGAAACCGGAGCUAAUACCGGAUAAUAUAUUGAACCGCAUGGUUCAAUAGUGAAAGACGGUUUUGCUGUCACUUAUAGAUGGAUCCGCGCCGCAUUAGCUAGUUGGUAAGGUAACGGCUUACCAAGGCGACGAUGCGUAGCCGACCUGAGAGGAUGAUCGGCCACACUGGAACUGAGACACGGUCCAGACUCCUACGGGAGGCAGCAGUAGGGAAUCUUCCGCAAUGGGCGAAAGCCUGACGGAGCAACGCCGCGUGAGUGAUGAAGGUCUUCGGAUCGUAAAACUCUGUUAUUAGGGAAGAAAAAAUGUGUAAGUAACUAUGCACGUCUUGACGGUACCUAAUCAGAAAGCCACGGCUAACUACGUG
This 497-nucleotide ribosomal RNA is filed under the name uncultured bacterium. RNAcentral's name for it is "partial 16S ribosomal RNA". It matches the Rfam family "Bacterial small subunit ribosomal RNA", at positions 28 to 507 of the family's 1533-position model. The record is from RNAcentral.